Molecule: ribosomal RNA, 623 nt
Filed under: uncultured bacterium
Lineage: Bacteria
Description: bacterial SSU rRNA
Rfam family: Bacterial small subunit ribosomal RNA
Source: RNAcentral
CCUACGGGAGGCAGCAGUAAGGAAUAUUGGUCAAUGGACGGAAGUCUGAACCAGCCAUGCCGCGUGCAGGAAGACGGCCCUACGGGUUGUAAACUGCUUUUGCAGGGGAAUAAACCUCAUUACGUGUAAUGAGCUGAAUGUACUCUGAGAAUAAGGAUCGGCUAACUCCGUGCCAGCAGCCGCGGUAAUACGGAGGAUCCAAGCGUUAUCCGGAUUUAUUGGGUUUAAAGGGUGCGUAGGUGGCCUGUUAAGUCAGGGGUGAAAGACGGUAGCUUAACUAUCGCAGUGCCCUUGAUACUGAUGGGCUUGAAUGAACUAGAGGUAGGCGGAAUGUGACAAGUAGCGGUGAAAUGCAUAGAUAUGUCACAGAACACCAAUUGCGAAGGCAGCUUACUAUGGUUUUAUUGACACUGAGGCACGAAAGCGUGGGGAUCAAACAGGAUUAGAUACCCUGGUAGUCCACGCCCUAAACGAUGAAUACUCGAUGUUGGCGAUAUACGGUCAGCGUCUAAGCGAAAAGCGUUAAGUAUUCCACCUGGGGAGUACGCCCGCAAAGGGUGAAAACCUANAAAAGGAAUUGACGGCGUGAGAGAGCCGAACGGACGACACGAGGGGAGGGAGGG